CCGGCAAACGGGUGCGGAACACGUACGCAACCUUCCUUUAACUGGAGAAUAGCCCCUCGAAAGAGGGAUUAAUACUCCGUAACAUAUUGAUAAGGCAUCUUAUUAAUAUUAUAGCUCCGGCGGUUAAAGACGGGCGUGCGCCUGAUUAGAUAGUUGGCGGGGUAACGGCCCACCAAGUCUGCGAUCAGUAACUGGUGUGAGAGCACGACCAGUCACACGGGCACUGAGACACGGGCCCG
RNAcentral lists this ribosomal RNA (239 nucleotides) under uncultured bacterium. RNAcentral's name for it is "partial 16S ribosomal RNA". It matches the Rfam family "Bacterial small subunit ribosomal RNA", at positions 95 to 334 of the family's 1533-position model. The record is from RNAcentral.